Long non-coding RNA from Melospiza georgiana, 337 nucleotides. RefSeq lists it as uncharacterized. The record is from RefSeq and is a predicted model, not a curated record. The transcript is spliced from 3 exons. NCBI's taxonomy places the organism in Eukaryota, Metazoa, Chordata, Aves, Passeriformes, Passerellidae.
AAACCCUGCAACUUGAUGGAAUUGCACUUGACUGGGUAACUCUUUGGAUAGCAUUGCCUAGAAGAAAGUGGCAGAAUAGCAUAAGAUGAUACAUUCUGAUGAUUACUAGUCUCUAUGUGUGAUCCUUGCCACUGUUGUGGAUAUGGUUUUGUUGGUCACUCCUAAUCUCUCUGGAUCCUGCUGUUUUCCCACAUGCCAAUGAAGACAAUGUCUACCUGAUUUCUACUGACUUCAUCUGAUGCCCUCGGUUCUUGUACUGGAAAAUAAAAGGAAGAGAUGUUUUCACUGGAACUCUACAUGGGUCCCUUCAGGUGACACUGGUUUUGUGAUUGCUGUA